GCGGAUAUGGCGGAAUUGGCAGACGCGAUAGAUUUAGGUUCUAUUGUCGAUAGGCGUGCAGGUUCAAGUCCUGUUAUCCGCA
RNAcentral lists this transfer RNA (82 nucleotides) under Blautia hydrogenotrophica. RNAcentral's name for it is "tRNA-Leu". It matches the Rfam family "tRNA". Rfam says of the family: Transfer RNA (tRNA) molecules are approximately 80 nucleotides in length. Their secondary structure includes four short double-helical elements and three loops (D, anti-codon, and T loops). Lineage: Bacteria; Bacillati; Bacillota; Clostridia; Lachnospirales; Lachnospiraceae. RNAcentral also lists the same sequence under 3 other names. The record is from RNAcentral.